Long non-coding RNA from Oncorhynchus keta (chum salmon), 784 nucleotides. RefSeq lists it as uncharacterized. The record is from RefSeq and is a predicted model, not a curated record. The transcript has 2 exons. NCBI's taxonomy places the organism in Eukaryota, Metazoa, Chordata, Actinopteri, Salmoniformes, Salmonidae.
UUAAAAGAUUUAGAUGCACUAUUGUAAAGUGGCUGUUCCACUGGAUGUCAUAAGGUGAAUGCACCAAUUUGUAAGUCGCUCUGGAUAAGAGCGUCAGCUAAAUGACUUAAAUGUAAUGUAAAACAAACAACAAAUGUAUCCAACAAAUGUGUAGAGUCACAACCUUGAUGUAGGCAUUGCGUGCUAGGAAUAUGGGACCAAAUACUUAACUUCGACUACUUUAAUACACACAAGUGAAUUUGUCCCAAUACUAUAUACAGAAAGGGUACUAUAUACAAAAAGUACUGUCAGUUCUAAACGGUUCAACCGAUAGGGAUGAAAAUACCCUCUAAAUACGGCAACAGUCUGCAAUUUAACCUUAUGGUCAUGGUUUGAUUUCCCAAUAAUCCCGGAGGACACUGUAUUUCCUGGUUCCGAGGAGCAUUUGAAUGGAUGAAGCUGUGAAGAGACUGAGUCUGGCACUGAACUGAACUGUCAAUACUGUACUAGUACAGCACCUCAGGGUUCUGGGAGAUGAAAUACAAUGCAUUUUAGAAAUCCAUUCACUAAGUCAUGUAAGCACACAGGUGGGGGUGGGAGAAGCCCUUGGAUGUAGAAAUAUGUGGCUGGAACAGACAUGAUAUUUUCUGAUGAAUUUAACCUGCUGUCUGGAAUGAUAUGACAGUGUGGAGGUAAUCCAGUAUGUUACUGUCUGGAAUGAUAUGACAGUUGUGGAGGUAAUCCAGUAUGUUACUGUCUGGAAUGAUAUGACAGUGUGGAGGUAAUCCAGUAUGUUACUGUCUGG